GGGGACGUAGCUCAGCUGGUAGAGCACCUGCUUUGCAAGCAGGGGGUCGGCGGUUCGAGUCCGCUCGUCUCCA
This 73-nucleotide transfer RNA is filed under the name Actinomycetes bacterium. Its description in RNAcentral is "Actinobacteria bacterium tRNA-Ala". It matches the Rfam family "tRNA". From Rfam's summary of the family: Transfer RNA (tRNA) molecules are approximately 80 nucleotides in length. Their secondary structure includes four short double-helical elements and three loops (D, anti-codon, and T loops). Lineage: Bacteria; Bacillati; Actinomycetota; Actinomycetes. The record is from RNAcentral. RNAcentral also lists the same sequence under 3 other names.